RNAcentral lists this ribosomal RNA (253 nucleotides) under uncultured bacterium. RNAcentral's name for it is "partial 16S ribosomal RNA". It matches the Rfam family "Bacterial small subunit ribosomal RNA", at positions 524 to 776 of the family's 1533-position model. The record is from RNAcentral.
UACGUAGGGGGCAAGCGUUGUCCGGAUUUAUCGGGCGUAAAGAGCGUGUAGGCGGCCAGGUAGGUCCGUUGUGAAAACUCGAGGCUCAACCUCGAGACGUCGGCGGAAACCCUCUGGCUAGAGUCCGGAAGAGGAGAGUGGAAUUCCUGGUGUAGCGGUGAAAUGCGCAGAUAUCAGGAAGAACACCCGUGGCGAAGGCGGCUCUCUGGGACGGUACUGACGCUGAGACGCGAAAGCGUGGGGAGCAAACAGG